RNAcentral lists this long non-coding RNA (261 nucleotides) under Gossypium raimondii (Peruvian cotton). RNAcentral describes it as "long non-coding RNA (GRAI_LNC009092)". Lineage: Eukaryota; Viridiplantae; Streptophyta; Magnoliopsida; Malvales; Malvaceae. The record is from RNAcentral.
UUUGUUAGUAUGUUCUAAUGUGAAAAGUAUGUAUCACAUUUGUGCAUAUGAUGUCUGUUAGUAUUUGCAUGAACAUUGGCGUGGGAUAUGAUAUGCAACGGGAGAAGUGUGAUUUUGGCAGUAUUACUGCAUCUUUUGGCGGAUUACCUCAAUUUUUUGUUUGGCAGCUCAGCUGCACUUAUAUGAGUGACAUAUCGCUACGACCUGGUGUGAUUGGAUAGAUGGACUUUUGUGUUCCUAAUUGGUGUUAUUUGUUGGACG